CUGAAAUUCGAACCAUAAACCCUAAAACCCUAAACCUUCAAAUCUAAACCCUAAAACAUCAACUCUACGGUUUUUGGGUUUAGGUUUACGGUUUAGUGUUUAGUAUUUAGGGUUUAGGGUUUAGAUUAGGGUUUAGGAUUUAGGGUUUAAAGUUUAGGGUUUAGAGUUGACGGUUUAGGGUUUAGGGUUUAGAAUUGAUGUUUUAGGGUUUAGGGUUAAUUUUUUAGGGUUUAGGGUUUUGAGUUUACUUUUUAGGGUUUAGGGUUUAGUGUUGAUAGUUUAGGGUUUAGUGUUGAUGGUUUAGGGGU
This 308-nucleotide long non-coding RNA is filed under the name Brassica napus (rape). RNAcentral describes it as "long non-coding RNA (BNAP_LNC026883)". Lineage: Eukaryota; Viridiplantae; Streptophyta; Magnoliopsida; Brassicales; Brassicaceae. The record is from RNAcentral.